GACGAACGCUGGCGGCGUGCCUAACACAUGCAAGUCGAACGGGGCAAUUUCUUCGGAGAUUGCUUAGUGGCGAACGGGUGAGUAACGCGUGAGCAAUCUGUCCUACACAGGGGGAUAACACUUGGAAACAGGUGCUAAUACCGCAUAAGACCACGCUAUCGCAUGGUAGAGGGGUAAAAGAUUUAUCGGUGUAGGGUGAGCUCGCGUCUGAUUAGUUAGUUGGUGGGGUAACGGCCUACCAAGACUACGAUCAGUAGCCGGACUGAGAGGUUGAACGGCCACAUUGGGACUGAGAUACGGCCCAGACUCCUACGGGAGGCAGCAGUCGGGAAUAUUGCGCAAUGGAGGAAACUCUGACGCAGUGACGCCGCGUAUAGGAAGAAGGUUUUCGGAUUGUAAACUAUUGUCGUUAGGGAAGAAAAAAGACAGUACCUAAGGAGGAAGCUCCGGCUAACUACGUG
This 461-nucleotide ribosomal RNA is filed under the name uncultured bacterium. RNAcentral's name for it is "bacterial SSU rRNA". It matches the Rfam family "Bacterial small subunit ribosomal RNA", at positions 28 to 507 of the family's 1533-position model. The record is from RNAcentral.